AUUUAAAUAGUUUAAUAAAAAUAUUGAUUUGUGGUGUCAAUGAUAUGAAAUUUUUCAUUUUAGAUC
Molecule: non-coding RNA, 66 nt
Organism: Culex quinquefasciatus (southern house mosquito)
Lineage: Eukaryota; Metazoa; Arthropoda; Insecta; Diptera; Culicidae
Source: the annotation of a RefSeq genome assembly